Gasterosteus aculeatus aculeatus (three-spined stickleback) is the source of this 8268-nucleotide long non-coding RNA. The record is from Ensembl. Lineage: Eukaryota; Metazoa; Chordata; Actinopteri; Perciformes; Gasterosteidae.
GGCAGGGCUCAGGAAGUCCCGCUACGCUGAUUAACACACACUCUGCUGUUCCUCGCUGUAGGAUGUUCUUUCAAAAAGGCUCUGCUGAGAGUUUUGCCGUUAUUCUUCCCAAAGCUUGCUUGGCGAUGUCGUUCGGCGCGGUCAUUGCUAUGGAAACCGGAUUGUUUGUUAACCAAGUUUAGCAGCUACCAACUGCUCAGUGCUAUGAUACGAGGGAGCGUAAGACACCUGGUGGGAACAAUACGUUGGCAGGGUUUCUUCUUUGCUGAUUCCGAAUGUCCGUUUGGGGUUCCGGGUUCCUGCAGAGCAGAAGACAGAGGCCAACAAGCUGGAGGACGUCAGUAAAACGCACACACAGCUACUAAAUAGAUUCACAUAAUAAGUGGAUUAGCCAUCAACAUGGUGCACAUCCACUUUCUGUUGGAGACUCACUUUUGACAAUUGUGUUUGGGGAUACUUCUGCAGUGGUCGGCUUGGCCAAGGGGACUUUACAGUAAUUACAUGUGACUACAUGUAACAGUCAAUGACAUAUUGGUUUGGGGUUUGUGAGACCCUGUGGUACGGAGACUGGAGCAGACGGGGUUGCAGGCUGUCAUGACCCUGCUGGGCAAAGAGCCUACCAUGAGCAGAAGCCAAGAGACUUUAGGGAUGGAUGAAAAGAGAGUUUGGCAAAGAAACAAGUGAAUACAAAAGUGUUCACAGUGCUCCAAAACUGAAUAGAGCCAAACCAGACGAGUGCAGAUUGUGUUGAGUAAUACUGAAGAAAGGAAAGAUUUAACCAGAAAGAAAGGGAUCACAGAUUGAGAGAGACACCAUUGGUAAGGUUCACUUUCCUCGUGAUAACGGCUUUAUCCAUUUUCAUUGGUUUUUGAAGAUUAUAACAACAAUAACCUCUCUUAAGCUCUUCUGUUGUCAAAUCUUCCUGUGAGGAACUGAAAGAGCUCUUUGUGCACACUCACACUGCAAUAACAUGCCUCAGAAGGAAUUUACAAAACUGAUUAUAUGAAAGCAAUUAGUAGGGUAGUUUUUACAGCUUUUGGCAUACAUUUUGUAUCAGAGACUUCUUACAAGAGGUUUGAACCUAAGCCCGUUUGCGUAUUGUUUUGUUUGUCUUUAGCAACUGCACUACUUUUCCCUCUUGCUCAUCACACUGCUGUGGAGUCUUUUAUUUAGAUAAAUCUACAUCGGGUAAAUCUACGCGGUUUUCUGACCUUAUGUCGCCUUGUGGCUGGCAGGUGAGUCUCUAGGCUAUAGAGCACUAUUGUGUUUUGUGUAUGUUGUUUAGUAUCUCUUAUUUGGGAACAUAAACAGCAUGAGUAUGAGCUGCUGCCUUCAAUUGUCUGUCUGUGAACGAGGUGCAUGUUUGUGUGUGUGUGUGUGUGUGUGUGUGUGUGUGUGUGUGUGUGUGUGUGUGUGUGUGUGUGUGUGUGUGUGUGUGUGUGUUGGAUCUGGAGGCCAAAUUACUGGCAAUUGUGUUGCGCAAUGAGCCUCCAGAGCGAGAAUAACAGAAGGACUUGGUGAGCAGCAUUGCUAUGGCCCAGAGAAGGCAGCAGGAGCUGCGAAGAUGAGAUCUUCAGGGUGUUCAGCUGGUAACAGUAAUUGUUGUUCUAUCUUGGUAGUGUUGAGCACAUUGUAAACAGCAGUAGUGAUACCAGUGAGAUCUGCCUCCCAGGGUUUUGGCGAAUGUAUUGAAGGCAUAGAGCAUAGAAGGCUCAUCAACAACGUAGUAGCACGACAUCUGCGCUGGUCAUCCAGGCUCAUCUCAGCGCACUACAGCAGUCCACGUUAUGUCUUUUUAAGGCAGAUGUCAUGUUCUUUAUGUCAACUAGUCCACAUGUGAAACCCACACCCUGAAUAUAAGGAAUCUAAUUGAAAUGUGUUACAUUUGUGAUGCAUAUAAACCUUAUGCCUUUCCUACGUUUAUAGAUGUUUUUCUAGCCGUGGUUGCAUUUCCGUGUAUAGUUUUUGUACGUGCGUCUGCUGUAGCAGGCGGCUGACAAGGCGACUGGUUCGCUGCUCGCAGCGGGAAGCUGGUGAACACCGUGCAGUCAUCAGAAGUGACGGCCACUGAAGUUUCAAUUAUAAGCCACCACCGUGUUUGUGGACAGUUUGAUGGGCACCUGUUUGCCUUCCCUGUCCAUAUUUAAAGAAGUAAUUGACAAAGGACGGCGUUAAUUUGCAUGUAAUUUUGUGAUUGCAGUAUGUUCAUAUAACAGGCCUUCGCCUAGUGAGCCUCCAUCCUUCUGGUUGAAAUGCUCGCUCACAGCCUUUAAUGCUGGAUAAUUCCGAUUAUAACCCUAUUUUGCAUGAUCAAUCACAUACAUGCACUGGGUUUGUUGAGUUACUUUAGCUCUGCCGGUGCACGAGUCUCGGACUGUUGUAGCUUCCAGGUGUGUGCAUCAUGGAUGAGACGCAGCUCCUUUUAUUCCCAAAGGACUGUAACACAGCUGAAGCCCCGACGGACAUGUAAAAUUUGAGUAGUGAUCCCCCUCAAAGACAUUUCAUUAACGUUGUGCUUCCAAAUAUAUCCCCGGUAAUUUUUAAGGAUUAUAUCUUCCAUAACUGCACUGUCCUCGCCAGCGAAUUUCUUGGUAUCCUUUCGGAGAGGCCGGGUGCGUUUGAUUGCGGCGCCGGUGAGUUUACUGAUACACUAAUCAAUAGACAGGCGUGGUUAUAAGCACUAGAUGAGGCAGAUCCGACGGACGGCCCCGGUGCCAGUCGGCUGGUAGGCUCCAGCUGGAACAACAUCACAGAGCUGCAUAAGCUACCCAGCUUCCAUGCCAUCGUGGCCCCCUUUGAACAGCGCCCCGGAGACCGGGAGCUCCGGUUCGCCGCUGCUGAGCCAAGGAACGCCACACUGGGACGUUUUCCUUUGGUGUUGCAUUCAAAGUAUGAACAAAGACUGUAUAUGACUUGUGUGUAUGUAGUGUGUUGAACCUUCUCAAAACUGCACUUUCCCCUGAAUUCCUUUGUUUCCCUCUCGGUUUAUUUGCUCCGAUGGAAAGAUGGGAAGAAAAACUGUAAUGUGCUCCAGAAGAUGCCGGUAGUUUGCUCUCUGCACGUUCGUCUCCUCUUUCAUUGUUAACAACUUUGCGUCUCUUUGUUCUGUUUUUGACAUUUGACUGUUACCUUAUCUGAUCCUCGCUGCUUCUCCUAUUUUAAAUGGAGAGAAAAUGUAGUUUGUGUAUCCCAUUUGCGUGAUUCCAUUUGGUUGUGGCUCACCCGAGACCUUCCAGCUUGUUGGCUCGUCCAUUUUCACAUUUCUUUCUUUGUCCUCCCUGCAGCCAGCUGAGGCCUCAGGUAUGUAUCACGUCCACGCCCCAUCGCCCCAAAUAGCUGUUGCUUUGUUUCUGCUCCCUGCUCGUCAUUCAGUAGCUUUAUAGUGUUAUUUCCUUCUUCCCCAACUUUUUUUUUUGUUUGACGUACUUAUACAUUGGAGUAUGCAUUUUCUAGUUUUAAUAGGAACCAGAAAUCCACAAGCACACAACAAGUACACAUUAGUAUUAAUAUACACAUUCAAUAUUUGAACAGGAUAUAGCCGCGCAUAAUGCAAGCCCAAUUCUUUCCUGCCAGCUCCCUCGUGGAUGUCUGGGAUGUGCGAGCUGGCGGAGCAGCCUCAUAUGUAGAUUCCUUCUUAACCUUCAAAAUCUGGCUCAGCCGUUUAUCAUAUUUGUGCUAUUUGCUCCACUUCGCCACUGCUAUCAUUAGGCACCGUUUACCAUUGUUAAUAACAAAGGUAGAUUUGGUUUGUUACCCACACACAAAACAACAAACCUCCGGCACUAGAUCCUUGAAUUAUUGAAGGCCACAUGUGUCCGCAGGAUAAUUGCCCCUUUUCAGCCUCUCGGUGACUACUUAGAAGUUGCCAAUAGUCACCACAAUACAUCAGACAUUUUAAAAAUCUCCAUAGAAGUUCCUUGUACACGCCGCUUUGAUUCCCUAGACAUUUAUUACAGUCGGAUAUAAAUCUCACAUCCAAAAGAACAGUUACAGCUGAAGGCAGAAAGAUCUUUUUAUAUUCUGCCCGUAUGAGAUCCCCUUUAGACUAAUGACAGUUGAUGACAAUUUAGUUCAAAUGCAAUAUACUAAGUCCUACUUUCUCUCCAUUUUAUAUGUACUGCUUCCAUCUACUUCCUCCAGCAUAGAUAUAUCGGUCUAUGGUCUGUAUCUUGCGUAUAUAAGUCAGCCCCCCCCAGCGAGGUGAGCGUCUGCUACGUCCGUACCUGGACGAAUACGAUCUGCAUGCAGUCGACCUGAAGAAAGCACAAUGACACUUCAACUGCCUGCUCAAGUUUCUCCCAGGUUGCAGAGUGCCAGCACCACCAAGUGCACGAUACAAUUAUUACAGUUAAAGAACUGCAAAUAUAUAAUAAUAUGUAGAACAUUUUGUGAGAUUGUCAGAAACUGUGUUACAAAUAUUGAACUGUCUAUGACAUGUAUUACAUGCAAUGUAAAAAGCAUGUCCUGUGAUUUCUCAGCCUCAUCUGCCUACACAUACCAGUGUACAUGGUGUGCCAUGUGUAUCUUUAGGUGAUUCUCAGGGGUUAUUUUAUCAAGUGAUUUUUAUGGUUCAUUUCAUUAAAAUACAUCUAAUUAAAGGCUAAUUCUUUUAUAUUCACCACAACUAAGAUAUAACAACACUGAGAUCAUGGCCGCGUCAAAGGCAAAGGCGUUUGUAGUCAAUAUUGAUAUGAUUGACAUGUAUUUGACAUUGGCUCUAUUUCUUCUUUUUUUUAACGGGCUGUUUCUAAGGCCAAAUAGUCAAUACCCAGAAUAACCACUAGUUUUUUUUUUAAGUGGCUCCCUUCAUGAAGCCAAUGCCCAUAUUUGAAAGAUUUCUCCCAGCAAUACUGAGACAUCAAUAUGGUUCAACAACCCUAGCAGAUAGUCAUCAGUUUAAUGAUGUACAGAUACAACCUGUGUUUCUUUAUGGAGAACACUGCGCUUUCAAGUUUUAGGACAGGUCGCCAUUAGAUGAUUAAAACCUGGACCUUGCUUUUAUGAUUCCAUACAGACUCCUGAGUGCUAAGGCUGAUAUUAAAAUAACAAAUGUUCUGUUAGUCCCAGAAAAAGAUCAGAACACUUAACUCACCAUAAAACUCAAAUGGUUUCAUUAUAACUCGCGUUGGUCUCACUCAGGUUCCAUUUAAACAUAUAAUUAACCACAUGUCGCUUGGAUAAAUCUCUAAACUUAUAUCCACUCACAUCAAGCCAGAAAUUACUGUUUGAAAGUUGCCUCAAAGGAUUCAAUUGUGUGUUCUCCAUUAAAAGAAAUGAUAGUGAAAGCAUGGCCUUUAAGGGUGCCUUUAAUGUUAUGUUAGUGUAAUAGUGCGGACAAAUUCAGUGAAUUGUCCAUUGACUUUUAGCGAUGUAAUCUCAUCAUCCAGCUCCUUUUAUAGAGAUGCUUGGGGUCGUUGGGGUAUGACUGUUGUUGUAGACUGUCAGUAUUUUGGAAAUGAUUGUCAAGCGGCUCAGCCUGAACUAUUAUUAGUCCACCGAUUGUAUGCAGCUCAAUGAUCUGGCUCUGCUUUUGUUUCAGGUAUUUAAGCUCUUUGGCAGACCGUUGUGGGAAGAUCUUUCUGUGAGGGCUCCGGUCCGUCCUCCGAAAAACAAUCUCAAUCAUCUUCUUGCUCCAGCAACAGUGUGGGAGCAAAUCUUUGCGUCUGCGUGUCAUAAAAACUGUAGCUCAAUGUGUAUAAUUAUCCUUUGAAACAAAUCGUUUGAGAGGUUUAUGGACGUGUGUUUCAUAUGCUGUCGAGUAGAAAGGAGAAAAACUGCACAUUAAUUGUUGACUGACGGAUGAAAAUGGGAAGCAGCGUGAAAUCGAGUCGGCCAACAUUUAGCAAAGUGGCAGCAGAACAAACGGACGUGGUUGCCAAAGACAUUGAUCAAAAUGUUUCUGUUUGUCGUGAGUGAACAGCUAGCAGCUGAAAUGGGUUCUAUUUUCAUAGGCAGGUUUUCUGUUGGGUUGAAUAGAUAUAACGGAGAUGGAAAGAAAUGAAAGUCCGUUUUGGGGAGAGCUCUUUAGAUCUUUGCAGGUACACAGUGUUCAUUGCAGCGUAUCAGCACUGGGUUGGGUUGACCUAGAGCGAGAGUAAAUUACCGUGACGUGGCGAGACAUUAGCCUGUUCCUCAGCUAAAAUGAUUUGCAAUUGUCAAUUCCUACAGAAGUAUGAGGUCCGAGACGAUUUUCCAGCAUCAAAUUGGGCUUGUCCAACCAAUCAUACAAGAGUAUUUAAUAUGUCAAUGAGAAAACGCAAACCAGUGAUUUUAAGAGAAUACCUUCUACGUAGGGAGGAGCCCUAAAGAUGCAAACCAGCAACAAUAGGCACAUCCGCGGUACCUCUAUGAGGUGCACAGUGAUCUUAACCAGAGCAGGAAUCAGAAAUGACUGCAAAAUGAAAAUAACAAAAGGAGGUAGAAAUGACAGAUGUGUUGUGUGUCUGUUACUGUUUAAGCGCGUGUGUGUGUGUGUGUGUGUGUGUGUGUGUGUGUGUGUGUGUGUGUGUAAAAGCUUCUCCCUGGCAAAGAUGGAGAGGGAUCAAAGGCUUAGCUGUGAUGCAGUCCAGCUGGUAGGACACCUUCUGCUUCAUCUAUGACGCCACCACCGCAGGAGAAGCUUUCCACCUCUGAUAAUGUUCAGAUGGUGCACGUGCACACACUGCAAGCAGCAGCAAGAGGGGUCACACCUCCUGAAGUGAGAAGUGAGACUGCACCUGCUCUCAUGAAGUGGGCGGACUGACGACGGUGCACAAGUGCUGCAACAAUCAAUAACGCUAAGACGGCUUCUGUUUUGGGGAUGUGCGUCGACUGGAAUCCCGACUUGGCUGGUGAGGAGAGAACACAGCCUGCUGUCAGCCUGGGUCAAGGGGCCAGACAAGAUUCUGGCUACACACACGUGUGUGUGUGCGUGUGCGUGCAAGCAACCAGGGGUCAUUCAGGGCAGCUUGAGUUUCUCUUCAAGUGUCUGAGUUGGUCCUCAUUAUCGGCUGCUGCGCGUGAAAGCAGGGGCGCACCCUUCCCCGAAGCCCCCUCGGCAGCGUGGAGCAGAAAUCUGUGCCAGCAACUCCAUCAGUUUGCAUGUUCUGGCUCCCCCGGGUUCCCCCACCGCCGCGCCGCAGUCCUCUGCUCCGGAUGGUCUGACACCGUUAGGAAAUGCGUGUGGCCAUCGGUCACAGAUCCCGAUGAGGGAUGGACGGAUGAGACGCACCCCGCUAACGGGAUUCCAAUGUGAAGGAAUUAAUAAUAGCUACAAUUCGCUUUCACCAGCUUUCACUGACAUUAUGUUCUGUAUGUAACAUUUGGUCCAACCAACAAAUCAACAUGGCGUCGAGCUGUCCUCCUGCUGGAUGUCCAAGGUGACUCCCUCCACACACGGUUCCAUAAGGAUUCCAUCGGACCUCUUUUCUUUCUGAGCCAUUAACUUUCCGCUGUCAUCUGCACUUUCCAUUACAUUUUUCAUUUCUACCGAAACAUUGACUAUUGUUGUCGCUAUUUUUUUUGCAUGUCGCUUUGCGCCUCUCCCCUCCCACGCCUCAAAUCUGCCCUUCAAUGCUUUUACCUGAGCAAUUAAAAAAUCAGAUUUCGACCAUGGUGAAAAGUGUUUUCAUUUGUCACGUUUUUCCCGCUUCAAAGUAGCUGUCAUUGUUUAGCUCUUUACCUCUCACUCACUUCCCUAACAGCUCCUCUGUGCUCACCCACGUUCCUCUCCCCUUUUCCUCGCUGUGCUACUCCGAAACCAACGCACACUUCCGGCUCCUCUUGUCUUUCAUACUGCUUCCCUUUCGUUCCCUCUGUCCACUCUCUCUCUCUCUCUCUCCAUCUCAGCCUCAUCCCUCUCUCCUAGCUCCUCUCUUUCCCCUGUAGACCUCAACCUUUCCCUUGUUGUAGCCCCUCUUACUCCUUUUUACAGUUUGAUUACCUGAUUGGCACGGCAGUGCGUCAUGAACCAAAGCAGUAGGGCAGGCGGUCACCUCCAAAGUGUCGAUAUCUCUCACCUUACGGGCCCAUCCCUUUUCUGGCCACUCAUUGCCACCGUUCACAUAGUUACUCCCCAUUGCUUCCUGUUCAUUCGCACUGCGUGAUGUCAUGCUUUGUAGUUUUGCUGUCUCAUCUGUGUCACCACUUCCUGGUGCGUGCGGGUGGGACAGGCUGGGCACAGGAACCAGAUUUCAAAUUCAAAUUAUAAUUGAACAUACUUCUUAUAUCUGUGGUAUUUUGUAAUACAGGUCCUCACACCCGGGCUUUAACAAUAAAUGGAACCCCCCC